Molecule: long non-coding RNA, 328 nt
Organism: Erinaceus europaeus (western European hedgehog)
Lineage: Eukaryota; Metazoa; Chordata; Mammalia; Eulipotyphla; Erinaceidae
Exons: 2
Source: RefSeq, a predicted model, not a curated record
CGCCUGCAGGCCUGGCAGGCUGCCUGGAGGUGGUGUGAGGACAACCCCAGUGAGUGUAGAUAUUGGGGAGCCGCCUUCCCCCAGGCAAGGCUGGGAGGACUUUCCGGGGUUCUGCGGCACCGCCCCAUUUUUACACGGCCCUAGUUCUGCGCGGUGCUCGUCCAGUGCGCAGGCGCCGAGGAGGAGUGCUGCUUUACUUGGUGUCGGGCCACAGGGAGGCGCUAUGGGCGCAAGGGAAAGCUGCCCGCCUGCGACAGGGUUUUCCUGGACUUUGACUGGGGGCUGGGGCGGGCUUGGGGUGGAGCAAUCAAUAAGACAAUUAAGGAGC